RNAcentral lists this ribosomal RNA (235 nucleotides) under uncultured bacterium. Its description in RNAcentral is "partial 16S ribosomal RNA". It matches the Rfam family "Bacterial small subunit ribosomal RNA", at positions 82 to 334 of the family's 1533-position model. The record is from RNAcentral.
CCUUACGGGUUUAGUGGCGGACGGGUGAGUAACACGUGGGAACGUGCCCUUUGGUUCGGAACAACUCAGGGAAACUUGAGCUAAUACCGGAUAAGCCCUUUUGGGGAAAGAUUUAUCGCCAUUGGAGCGGCCCGCGUCUGAUUAGCUAGUUGGUGAGGUAAAGGCUCACCAAGGCUACGAUCAGUAGCUGGUCUGAGAGGAUGAUCAGCCACACUGGGACUGAGACACGGCCCAG